ACUCUUUUAGUAUAAUCAGUACAAUUGACUUCCAAUCAAUCAGCUUUGAUAG
Molecule: transfer RNA, 52 nt
Filed under: Cercopithecus wolfi elegans
Lineage: Eukaryota; Metazoa; Chordata; Mammalia; Primates; Cercopithecidae
Description: partial tRNA-Gly
Source: RNAcentral